This 256-nucleotide ribosomal RNA is filed under the name uncultured bacterium. Its description in RNAcentral is "partial 16S ribosomal RNA". It matches the Rfam family "Bacterial small subunit ribosomal RNA", at positions 524 to 776 of the family's 1533-position model. The record is from RNAcentral.
UACGGGGGGGAGCAAGCGUUGUUCGGAUUUACUGGGCGUAAAGGGCGCGUAGGCGGUCAGCACAAGUCAGUUGUGAAAUCUCCGGGCUUAACUCGGAAAGGUCAACUGAUACUGUGCGACUAGAGUGCGGAAGGGGCAACUGGAAUUCUCGGUGUAGCGGUGAAAAUGCGUAGAUAUCGAGAGGAACACCUGCGGCGAAGGCGGGUUGCUGGGCCGACACUGACGCUGAUGCGCGAAAGCGUGGGGAGCAAACAGG